UGGGGAAUUUUGGACAAUGGGGGAAACCCUGAUCCAGCCAUCCCGCGUGUGCGAUGAAGGCCUUCGGGUUGUAAAGCACUUUUGGCAGGCAAGAAACGUCAUGGGUUAAUACCCCGUGAAACUGACGGUACCUGCAGAAUAAGCACCGGCUAACUACGUGCCAGCAGCCGCGGUAAUACGUAGGGUGCAAGCGUUAAUCGGAAUUACUGGGCGUAAAGCGUGCGCAGGCGGUUCGGAAAGAAAGAUGUGAAAUCCCAGAGCUCAACUUUGGAACUGCGUUUUUAACUACCCGGCUAGAGUGUGUCAGAGGGAGGUGGAAUUCCGCGUGUAGCAGUGAAAUGCGUAGAUAUGCGGAGGAACACCGAUGGCGAAGGCAGCCUCCUGGGAUAACACUGACGCUCAUGCACGAAAGCGUGGGGAGCAAACAGG
Molecule: ribosomal RNA, 429 nt
Filed under: Acidobacteriota bacterium
Lineage: Bacteria; Pseudomonadati; Acidobacteriota
Description: Acidobacteria bacterium partial 16S ribosomal RNA
Rfam family: Bacterial small subunit ribosomal RNA
Source: RNAcentral